GAUGGGGCUUUACUGUGAAUUGUAUGGAAAAGUGGUGGUUGCGAGCAAGGUUCCUCUUCCCAAUUAUAGGCCAGAUCUCGAUGACAAGCGGCCUCAAAGGGAGGUGGUUAUCCCACUAAGCUUGCAAAGGAGAGUAGAGGGUCUGCUGCAGGAACACCUUGACAGAAUGCAGUUGAGUUCUGAAAGGGUCAGUGGCACUUCAGUUGACACUAAGGCCACUGAUCAGGUUGAAGAUGUAAAUCCAGAUGAUGAUCCCGAUUCUUUCUUAGAUGGCUCUGUUAUGGAAAAGGUUCUUCAGAGGCAGAGUUUGCGAAUGCGUAAUAUGCAGAGAACGUGGCAGGUAUAUUUCAUUUCCUUUUUUUG
Camellia sinensis is the source of this 363-nucleotide non-coding RNA. Lineage: Eukaryota; Viridiplantae; Streptophyta; Magnoliopsida; Ericales; Theaceae. The record is from RefSeq and is a predicted model, not a curated record.